GGGGGCGAUCGGUUUCGACUUGGGACGGUAGUCGCAAGGGAAGCGGGCCGAGAAUCCAUGCUCAUCUCGUAAACGCCGCAUGGAAACUAAUAAGUGCCAACAAGAACAGCACUGACUUCGCUCUCGCUGCCUGAUCAGCGAUCGAAGGGUCAGCCCGGACGAGCCUUCGGUCCGGAAUCUGGCCUCGUUUAGAGGGCUUGCUGCCUAGCCUGCGUGUCAGGGGCUAGGCGGGACUUCACUGAUACUGGGUCUGUUGGCGACGUGCUGAUGUGAGUGCCAAGACCAAGAACAACGCCAUCAUCAGCUGCGCCCGGAGAAGACUUGCCUCACCUUUCAAGGACGCGGGUUCGAUUCCCGCCGCCUCCACGG
This 369-nucleotide transfer-messenger RNA is filed under the name Propionibacteriaceae bacterium. It matches the Rfam family "transfer-messenger RNA". From Rfam's summary of the family: Bacterial tmRNA, also known as 10Sa RNA or SsrA, is named for its dual tRNA and mRNA-like properties. The record is from RNAcentral. Lineage: Bacteria; Bacillati; Actinomycetota; Actinomycetes; Propionibacteriales; Propionibacteriaceae.